RNAcentral lists this ribosomal RNA (1343 nucleotides) under uncultured bacterium. Its description in RNAcentral is "16S ribosomal RNA". It matches the Rfam family "Bacterial small subunit ribosomal RNA", at positions 28 to 1378 of the family's 1533-position model. The record is from RNAcentral.
GACGAACGCUGGCGGCGUGCUUAACACAUGCAAGUCGAACGGAAAGGCCCUGCUUUUGUGGGGUGCUCGAGUGGCGAACGGGUGAGUAACACGUGAGUAACCUGCCCUUGACUUUGGGAUAACUUCAGGAAACUGGGGCUAAUACCGGAUAGGAGCUCCUGCUGCAUGGUGGGGGUUGGAAAGUUUCGGCGGUUGGGGAUGGACUCGCGGCUUAUCAGCUUGUUGGUGGGGUAGUGGCUUACCAAGGCUUUGACGGGUAGCCGGCCUGAGAGGGUGACCGGCCACAUUGGGACUGAGAUACGGCCCAGACUCCUACGGGAGGCAGCAGUGGGGAAUAUUGCACAAUGGGCGGAAGCCUGAUGCAGCAACGCCGCGUGCGGGAUGACGGCCUUCGGGUUGUAAACCGCUUUCGCCUGUGACGAAGCGUGAGUGACGGUAAUGGGUAAAGAAGCACCGGCUAACUACGUGCCAGCAGCCGCGGUGAUACGUAGGGUGCGAGCGUUGUCCGGAUUUAUUGGGCGUAAAGGGCUCGUAGGUGGUUGAUCACGUCGGAAGUGUAAUCUUGGGGCUUAACCCUGAGCGUGCUUUCGAUACGGGUUGACUUGAGGAAGGUAGGGGAGAAUGGAAUUCCUGGUGGAGCGGUGGAAUGCGCAGAUAUCAGGAGGAACACCAGUGGCGAAGGCGGUUCUCUGGGCCUUUCCUGACGCUGAGGAGCGAAAGCGUGGGGAGCGAACAGGCUUAGAUACCCUGGUAGUCCACGCUGUAAACGGUGGGUACUAGGUGUGGGGUCCAUUCCACGGGUUCCGUGCCGUAGCUAACGCUUUAAGUACCCCGCCUGGGGAGUACGGCCGCAAGGCUAAAACUCAAAGGAAUUGACGGGGCCCCGCACAAGCGGCGGAGCAUGCGGAUUAAUUCGAUGCAACGCGUAGAACCUUACCUGGGUUUGACAUGGAUCGGGAGCGCUCAGAGAUGGGUGUGCCUCUUUUGGGGUCGGUUCACAGGUGGUGCAUGGCUGUCGUCAGCUCGUGUCGUGAGAUGUUGGGUUAAGUCCCGCAACGAGCGCAACCCUUGUUCACUGUUGCCAGCACGUUAUGGUGGGGACUCAGUGGAGACCGCCGGGGUCAACUCGGAGGAAGGUGGGGAUGACGUCAAGUCAUCAUGCCCCUUAUGUCCAGGGCUUCACGCAUGCUACAAUGGCUGGUACAGAGAGUGGCGAGCCUGUGAGGGUGAGCGAAUCUCGGAAAGCCGGUCUCAGUUCGGAUUGGGGUCAGCAACUCGACCUCAUGAAGUCGGAGUCGCUAGUAAUCGCAGAUCAGCAACGCUGCGGUGAAUACGUUCCCGGG